This 211-nucleotide long non-coding RNA is filed under the name Durio zibethinus. RNAcentral's name for it is "long non-coding RNA (DZIB_LNC000266)". Lineage: Eukaryota; Viridiplantae; Streptophyta; Magnoliopsida; Malvales; Malvaceae. The record is from RNAcentral.
CCGCACUUCCGAACUCGAAAUUUAGUUUCGUGGGCUAGAAUCUACCAUUUAAAGAUACCUAAGUCAAACUUGAAACUUCUCUUUAAAAUAGGACAGAUUUAGUUAGGUGGCCAAUUGCACCUAAACAAAAAAAAAUUAAUGGUUACUCCUAAGUUUAUAUCUGGUGAUGGGUCAAUGGAUCUACACGUUAUGACAAUGUACACAUUUGCAU